AGAGUUUGAUCAUGGCUCAGAUUGAACGCUGGCGGAAUGCUUACACAUGCAAGUCGAACGGCAGCACGGGGCAACCUGGUGGCGAGUGGCGAACGGGUGAGUAAUACAUCGGAACGUGCCCAAUCGUGGGGAUAACGUAGCGAAAGUUACGCUAAUACCGCAUACGAUCUACGGAUGAAAGCGGGGGAUCGCAAGACCUCGCGCGAAUGGAGCGGCCGAUGUCAGAUUAGGUAGUUGGUGGGGUAAAGGCUCACCAAGCCGACGAUCUGUAGCUGGUCUGAGAGGACGACCAGCCACACUGGGACUGAGACACGGCCCAGACUCCUACGGGAGGCAGCAGUGGGGAAUUUUGGACAAUGGGCGCAAGCCUGAUCCAGCCAUUCCGCGUGCAGGAUGAAGGCCUUCGGGUUGUAAACUGCUUUUGUACGGAACGAAACGGUUCUCUCUAAUACAGGGGGCUAAUGACGGUACCGUAAGAAUAAGCACCGGCUAACUACGUG
This 500-nucleotide ribosomal RNA is filed under the name uncultured bacterium. RNAcentral describes it as "bacterial SSU rRNA". It matches the Rfam family "Bacterial small subunit ribosomal RNA", at positions 8 to 507 of the family's 1533-position model. The record is from RNAcentral.